CAUCGAACCCUAGCCCCAAUCCAUAGCCCUGCGCCCCUCGCUCCUCCCUCCCUCGCCCGCCGCCGCUCCCUCCCACCACCUCCUCCUCCUCCUUCUGCGCCCUAGGAGCCCCGCUGCCGCCUGCUACUCCUCCACCGCCUCGCCUCUUCCUCCUCCCCGCCUUCCCAUCGCUUAGGUUGGCGGUUAGCGGCGGCUCGAUCCACUCCGUGGUUUCAGAUGGGCUGCCUUCCCCAUCUCUUGUCCGUGUCUGGUGCCGUCACUCGAUCUCGAUCUUGGGAGCAUGCAGGAGAGAAGCAUCGUGCCUAUUGCCAGGACGGGACAUGGGGGUGGAGGCGAGCGAGAGAGUGGGUGUUGCUGAAGAAGCUGGGGAGGCAAGACGAGGGCGGCGUGGCGUUUCGUGGCCGCGGUGGCCGGAGGGGCGGCUCCACGUCGCGGUGUAUGAGGUGCCUAGAGGAGGAUGCUGCGGCAGGUUAAACUCCUCUCCCGUUGUAGAGCAGUCCGCAGUGCCGUCACCGUCGUCCUUGCCUUCGAGCCAUCCGUGCCGCCGUCGCCGUCGCCUAGAGGAUGCCGGUAGGAAGCAGCAGCUCGCCGUUUCCUUGGUCCCCGCCGACGCCAAGCAAGAAGAGAAGGCACGUGUGCUGUAGGUGUAGCAAAUUGGACAAGCUACAUCGCUAAUGCCGGGUGUAUGGAGCUCAGGAAGGCUAUCUGCAACAAGCUUCAGGAGGAUAAUGGUCUAACCUAUAGCCCAGAUCAUGUGCUAGCGACCAAUGGGGCUAAGCAAUGCACUACACAUGCUGUUCUUGAUGUUCUCUCAUGUGGUGACGAGGUAAAUUUGAAGCCUAAGGUGCCAACAAAGGUAGUUUGUGCUGAACAUCUUGAGUUACAGAACGAGAUACUCACACAGAAAAGUAGAGAUGCACAAUAGUUUUAGCUUUUCAGGGAUUGUUCUUGUUGGGUUCAGCUUUCGCCGGCAUGUUGUUAUUACAGAGUUACCGUAUCUCUUUGAAUCGUCAUAUGUACUCCAAACUCUUAUAGAUUAUGCAACUAGCUAAUGGUUGGAACUUUUACUCAGCUUUAUUAUAGGUGGCACAAAGUCAUGUUAGUUGCCAUUUUAUUGCUACAGAUAUGUUCUUGUUCUGACUGUUUAUGUGAUGAUUAUAUCCAUGUGUAUGUAGCACAACCUCAUGUUUACACGUGGCUUGAAAUCGGCUGUACUUUUUUUGCUUUUGUUACAAGAUAUAUCAUCAAUUUCUUGUCUGGAUGUACUUUUAUUAGUUUGCUUCUAACUGCAUCUUAAUAUGUACUCGGUAGGCUCUACAGGAUUCGAUGAUGGAUGUGUGAAUGUGAGCAAUCAGGAUAUAAAUUUCUUCCAACAGCAAGGCAUGCUGAUUAGAUUCAGGAAUAUGUUCUUGCGUCUCAGCUUUGCAGCUUCACGUUGUAGGACUAAUAUUUGGUACCUGACAUGAGAUUGAGAAAUACCAUGCUUUAAUUAAUUAGUACAUACCUUGUGCAGGGCACAUAAAAUAUAUCUGAUAUCGCUUUUUUGUUAUUUAUAUUUUUAUCUUUUCUACCCUAAUUCAGUAGCACCAUUUCUUGAUGUUAUUUCUCUAUAGGAUUGUUGCUUCCACUAUAGCUUUUCCCCUCUGAAAUGAAUUUGAAUUAGGUCACUUUAGUGUCAAGGUAAAAAUUUCUUUGUUCUCGGGAAGAGCCAGUAUCCUAGGUGAUCGUUAAAUAUUAUUAAUAAUUACCAAUUAAUAAUUAUGUGCUUGACUGUUUGUUGAUGACCAAUAAUUAUGUAUUUCACUUAUAAGUAACUAUCUAAUUUGCAUGUUCCAUUUUAUUUCAGAUGUAACACAUUCUUUAUAUGUAUUAUGAUGGAUUUUAGAUAUGCUCACUUGAUAUCAUUUUUUCUCUUGACUCUAAAACAGGUAUGUACAAGCUAUUUAAGAGGGCCAAGAAGGCGGAAUAGCCUCGCUUAUACAGUUUCUGACUGCUAACAGUGCCAUCAUCAAUGAGCUUCACUCUAAAGUCUGUUCAUGGGAGGGUUGGGCUUCCUUCAAUGCUAGGGAUGAAAUUGGAGAAUAAACAAGGGGUUGACAUGCUUGUGAAGUUCUAUUAGUGCCAUCAUCAAUGAGCUUCACUCUAAAGUCUGUUCAUGGGAGGGUUGGGCUUCCUUCAAUGCUAGGGCUGAAAUUGGAGAAUAAUUAAACAAGGGGUUGACAUGCUUGUGAAGUUCUAUUAGGUUUCAGGUUCCUUUUGUUGUGAGGUGCUCCAUGGCCCUUUGCUUGGAUGCUCUGUGGUGAGGCAACAGAGAUAAUUAGCAGUCUUGUAUACUAACCAAGAGAACAUCCAUUUCAUGAUUUUGGGUAUUGGGUUCUCUUUGCUAAACCAGCUGCAGCUAGAUGAGAGAAGUAGUAAGUAAUAUCAGGACAGCGUCUCCCCGUGUUCUCGAUCCGGCGCCGCCACAUAUCAUGAUUCUGGAUUGGGCGCAGGUCAUCGCCAUAAGAGAGCCUGGCUGGUGUGGUCUUCAUGCUUGGUGUGGAGAAGCACGGGGGAUGAGUAGGACGGGCAUGGGGAAGGAGCAGCUAGGCCGGAGCUCCGGCGUUGUUCGCGUCAUGGUCGAAUGGAGCCGGCCAUCACUAUGGGCUGCUGCUCGCCGGUCGUCGUUUAUCCAAUCUCAGUUGCUCAUCUUUGGCUUCACCAUCUUCCUCCCCUGAUCAUGCAUCUAUUUUAGAUCAUAUAAUUAUGCUAUAUCAUAUAUGUUGUUUAGUUCAGACUUGUGCAUGUGCAUGCAUUGGCAUUGAUUUAGACAGAGAUAUUGCAUGAUUUGUACAUAGAAGGAGUACGGAUGAUCUAGGAAUAAAUGUUUGAAUAAAGUUAGUAGUGAGAUUUAGAUAGAGGUUA
Molecule: long non-coding RNA, 2904 nt
Organism: Triticum aestivum (bread wheat)
Lineage: Eukaryota; Viridiplantae; Streptophyta; Magnoliopsida; Poales; Poaceae
Exons: 7
Source: RefSeq, a predicted model, not a curated record